UGCUGCUCUCUGUUUCCCUUGCCUUGUGUGAACACGUUGGUAUGGAUGGUGUAAGGUUGGCCGGUGACGUUGCCGAGGAACUCGAAGUCGAGCUCGUCGUGAUUUGGGCCUUGUGAGGAGAGGUAGAAGGUGGUGACUGUUCCGGCGGAGUUGCCAGGGACGAGCUUGAUCUUCAUAUCGAUCUUUCCGAAAAGAUAGGAGUUCUUAGACUGGAAGCCGGAGCCGGAGUAGUGAUCAAGGGAGAGGGUGAGGAGCUGACCGUUGUCGAGGAACUUGCCGCGGCCGUCACCCCAUGUUAUGUCAAGGUCUUGAGAGAGGCUGCUCUGAGCUA
RNAcentral lists this unclassified non-coding RNA (331 nucleotides) under Hevea brasiliensis (rubber tree). The record is from RNAcentral. Lineage: Eukaryota; Viridiplantae; Streptophyta; Magnoliopsida; Malpighiales; Euphorbiaceae.